Long non-coding RNA from Cyprinus carpio carpio, 1950 nucleotides. The record is from Ensembl. NCBI's taxonomy places the organism in Eukaryota, Metazoa, Chordata, Actinopteri, Cypriniformes, Cyprinidae.
AUAUAUAUAUAUAUAUAGCAGUUCUUUGGUUUAUUUUAAUAAGCAAGUUCUUCUUUGCUGGAAAAGAGCAAGCAAUUCCUUCUUUGCAGAAUGCAGAAAAGAGCAGUAACCUAUUCUGUCUGAUAUCAGCACUUCCUACUUCUAUAAUUCUUAUAAAUACAUCAGCAUGAUGCAUUGUAUUAUAACUUCAGACUGAAAUCUUGUAAAUAGUCUACCAAAUCUAACAACCAAAUUCAAGAUUUUUUUUUUGUUUUUUAAUUUAAAUUAUUAGCUUAAUACGGCCGUUUAAUGCAAGCUAUCUCUUUGAAAACAUCUAUUUAUCAUUAUAUUGUUUGUUUAUUCAUCAAUAUAAUUCCCUUGUGGCUCCCACUUUUCAUAUAAACUAGCCUUUAACUUUUCAGAGCCAAUACUUAACUCAAAUCUCCUAAAAAAAUUCUGCCAAAUCAUCUAAAUACAGUUUUCAUUUCUGCUCUAUACAUUGUCAUCCCUCUGAUCAACAGUACUGUCCUAAUUUUGGCCUUGUUGGUUACUGACAUAUAGGUGUGCUUCCAUUUCCCUUCAAAUUGCGCAAACUGACAUUGCGAACUGAAAAUACUUUACAAAUACGUUUUUAUAUUUUAUUAUUAAAAAAAUUAAUAAUUCGCAAACCUGCUGUGGAAACAGUGUUUUCUUAUUUGCAGGUCACAUGCCGUAUGUAAAAAGUCAUAUGAUAAUUCUUCAAUGUACUAUAACCUCCAAAAAACACUUCAUACGUCCGGUAUAAGGGUUUUCCCCUACCAUUAAUGCUUAGACAAUUUACACUGCACACGUCUGCGGUGCAGUUUGGCUCUGAUACAGCCACUGAAGCUGAUCGCAGCCACUCUAUACAUGCACGAUACAUGCAUACGCCUCCUUUGAAUAAAUAUCGCCAAAAUAUUACAUUUUAGAAGCAUAACCUUGGUUAAUGGAAAUGCUGUCAUUUUGCAAUGCUUUUUUUUAAUCAACAUUUAUAAAAUAUCACCAAAGUUUUGCGCAAAUCUGUAAUGGAAACCCACCUAGUGCCUCUUAAAAUAGCAACUCACUGAUCAAACACAGCUGAGAGAGAACAAAGCAAGAGUAGAUUUGUUUCAAAACUUCACUAAAUCCAAGUGAACUUAGAAUGGCAAAUAGCCAUUAGAUGAAUGUGCACUAAACAAUUUGCUGAAACAUAGCUACUACUCUGCUGUUUCACCCAUCCUGUCUAGAUCAAGGGACAUAGACAAUUAAAAGAAUUGCGACUUAUCAGUUUAUUUGUUAAAAUAAAUCUAUAGAAGGACUGAGAAUGUCAAUGUGAGAAUAGGUAACAAAGAUAGCCUUUCACGAAGCGUCCAUUCGCUUUUUAAGAAUGAGUAAUGAAAAAAAGUUAUCUUUUGCUGAACUUCUAUUCUAUUAACAGUAGGUCGCGACCUGAUACUGUUCUUCCCGUAUGUCUUACACAGUACGAGGAUAACUCACUCUGCCAAAUAUGACAGAGUCCAAAUUCACAGCACGAAAAAUAUGUUCAAUUUCUUAACAGACAGUAAGAAUAAUUAAAGAUUAUUCCUCACCUGUCUGCAGAAAUCCCGACGAGCCCCCACUGUUAAAUAACACAUAAUUCCGUCUUUAUCUUUCGAUGCCGUCUGACCAUUCUCAGUCCUUGCAUGAGCUCAUGGAAAGAAGUAAAUGAACAUGAAGCCUUUUAGUCUGCUCACAAACUUCUUCCCCGUUUAUUAUUAAAUCCACACAUUAUAUAGUUGCAUUGCAAGGGGUGGUGUUUUAGUUUAUCCAAUGAGAUAUGGAUUACAUAUGUGUGGUACACAAGCCAAGAAAUAUACGUUAUAUAAAAUGAAAGUAUGGCCAGGAAGUUCUGGACAUAUUAGGAGCACACUUUGGCCAAGGAUACCUCAACUCUGAGCAGAUGGACAGACCGAACUCAAUAACCUUCGGGCCUAU